AACCUGAGCAUAACCUUUUAAACUCUGUAUGUGCCUUUAGAGCCCCCAUUGGGAUUUCUAGGGUUUUGAUAAAGUGUAAAGCCUGAAAACAUUGGAAUUCCUCUGCUAGAGGUGGAGGCUUACUGUUUAUUAUAACUGAUAGAGGUCGAAGCCACAGACGAUCUAGUGGUAUAUAUGGUGCAUUCUCUAAAUGUGUUGUUAG
Pelobates cultripes (western spadefoot toad) is the source of this 202-nucleotide non-coding RNA. NCBI's taxonomy places the organism in Eukaryota, Metazoa, Chordata, Amphibia, Anura, Pelobatidae. The record is from the annotation of a GenBank genome assembly.